Molecule: transfer RNA, 76 nt
Filed under: Rhizobium sp. NXC24
Lineage: Bacteria; Pseudomonadati; Pseudomonadota; Alphaproteobacteria; Hyphomicrobiales; Rhizobiaceae
Also listed under: 2 other names
Description: tRNA-Thr
Rfam family: tRNA
About the family: Transfer RNA (tRNA) molecules are approximately 80 nucleotides in length. Their secondary structure includes four short double-helical elements and three loops (D, anti-codon, and T loops). Further hydrogen bonds mediate the characteristic L-shaped molecular structure. tRNAs have two regions of fundamental functional importance: the anti-codon, which is responsible for specific mRNA codon recognition, and the 3' end, to which the tRNAs corresponding amino acid is attached (by aminoacyl-tRNA synthetases). tRNAs cope with the degeneracy of the genetic code in two manners: having more than one tRNA (with a specific anti-codon) for a particular amino acid; and 'wobble' base-pairing, i.e. permitting non-standard base-pairing at the 3rd anti-codon position.
Source: RNAcentral
GCCAGCAUAGCUCAGUAGGUAGAGCGCCGUCUUUGUAAUUCGGAUGCCCGGGGUUCGAAUCCUCGUGCUGGCUCCA